Molecule: non-coding RNA, 710 nt
Organism: Cavia porcellus (domestic guinea pig)
Lineage: Eukaryota; Metazoa; Chordata; Mammalia; Rodentia; Caviidae
Source: the annotation of a RefSeq genome assembly
UGCAGGACUCAGAUAAAAGCCCAUCUGUACUAUUGCCCUGACUCAUCAGCGUUCCUCAGUUUAGCUCAGAAUGAAGCUCCUUGCUCAGCUCCUGGGGCUGCUGAUGCUCUGUAUCCCAGGAUUUAUUGGGGAAGUUGUGCUGACCCAGACUCCACUCUCCCUGUCCAUCACCCCUGGAGAGUCGGCCUCCAUCUCCUGUAGAUCCAGCCAGAGCCUCCUGGAUAGUGAUGGAGACACCUAUUUGUAUUGGUACCUGCAGAAGCCAGGCCAGGCUCCAAAGCUCCUGAUUUACGAAGUUUCCAACAGGGUUACUGGGGUCUCAGACAGAUUCAGAGGCAGUGGGUCAGGGACAGAUUUCACCCUGCAAAUCAGCAGCAUGCAGUCAGAAGAUACUGGGGUUUAUUACUGUUUUCAAGGUACACAUGUGCCUCCCACAGUGAUAGAGCUCCGAACAUAAACUUCCCUGACCAAGGAUGCCCAGCUGCCUUCUUUGUUGUUUGUCUGGAGAGCAGCAUAGCAAAGUCUGGAGUCUAUGUAACAGGAAGAUGCUGCAGUUCUCAGGGGAUUAUGUUGCUCUUGAAAGCUCUGGACCAUGUGUGACUCAAUUAAACCUCAAACAUCACCUGCUUAUUAACUGUCAGCUCACGGACACUUUGCAUACCACAGACAGAUGGAGAAGGGGGGUGUCUCUCCUGCUAAUGAUGACAGUA